GGCCAGCUGUGGCUGCGGUUCGCGGUGGCCACGCUGUCGUUGCUGCUGGGCGGAGUGGGCUUCUGGUGGGCGCUGGUGGAUCGCCAGCGGCUGACCU
RNAcentral lists this transfer RNA (97 nucleotides) under Stenotrophomonas lactitubi. RNAcentral describes it as "tRNA-Asp". The record is from RNAcentral. Lineage: Bacteria; Pseudomonadati; Pseudomonadota; Gammaproteobacteria; Lysobacterales; Lysobacteraceae.